RNAcentral lists this ribosomal RNA (320 nucleotides) under uncultured eukaryote. RNAcentral describes it as "partial 18S ribosomal RNA". It matches the Rfam family "Eukaryotic small subunit ribosomal RNA", at positions 1470 to 1796 of the family's 1831-position model. The record is from RNAcentral.
CCCCUAGAUGUUCUGGGCCGCACGCGCGCUACACUGAACAGUUCAACAAGUCUUAACCUUGGCCGAUAGGUCUGGGUAAUCUUUGAACGCUGUUCGUGAUUGGGAUAGACCUUUGCAAUUAUGGGUCUUCAACGAGGAAUUCCUAGUAAGCGCAAGUCAUCAGCUUGCGUUGAUUACGUCCCUGCCCUUUGUACACACCGCCCGUCGCUUGUACCGAUUGGAUGGUCCGGUGAAAUCUUCGGAUAGCUGGUAGUUGGCUUGCCAUCUGCUGCUAAAAGUUGCUUAAACCUUAUCAUCUAGAGGAACAAGAAGUCGUAACA